Molecule: ribosomal RNA, 1805 nt
Filed under: Salmonella enterica subsp. enterica serovar Anatum
Lineage: Bacteria; Pseudomonadati; Pseudomonadota; Gammaproteobacteria; Enterobacterales; Enterobacteriaceae
Description: partial 23S ribosomal RNA
Rfam family: Bacterial large subunit ribosomal RNA
Source: RNAcentral
GGGUUGUGAGGUUAAGCGACUAAGCGUACACGGUGGAUGCCCUGGCAGUCAGAGGCGAUGAAGGGCGUGCUAAUCUGCGAUAAGCGCCGGUAAGGUGAUAUGAACCGUUAUAACCGGCGAUACCCGAAUGGGGAAACCCAGUGUGAUUCGUCACACUAUCAUUAACUGAAUCCAUAGGUUAAUGAGGCGAACCGGGGGAACUGAAACAUCUAAGUACCCCGAGGAAAAGAAAUCAACCGAGAUUCCCCCAGUAGCGGCGAGCGAACGGGGAGGAGCCCAGAGCCUGAAUCAGCAUGUGUGUUAGUGGAAGCGUCUGGAAAGGCGCGCGAUACAGGGUGACAGCCCCGUACACAAAAGCGCAUGUGCUGUGAGCUCGAUGAGUAGGGCGGGACACGUGGUAUCCUGUCUGAAUAUGGGGGGACCAUCCUCCAAGGCUAAAUACUCCUGACUGACCGAUAGUGAACCAGUACCGUGAGGGAAAGGCGAAAAGAACCCCGGCGAGGGGAGUGAAAAAGAACCUGAAACCGUGUACGUACAAGCAGUGGGAGCACAGGUUUACCUGUGUGACUGCGUACCUUUUGUAUAAUGGGUCAGCGACUUAUAUUCUGUAGCAAGGUUAACCGAAUAGGGGAGCCGGAGGGAAACCGAGUCUUAACCGGGCGUUAAGUUGCAGGGUAUAGACCCGAAACCCGGUGAUCUAGCCAUGGGCAGGUUGAAGGUUGGGUAACACUAACUGGAGGACCGAACCGACUAAUGUUGAAAAAUUAGCGGAUGACCUGUGGCUGGGGGUGAAAGGCCAAUCAAACCGGGAGAUAGCUGGUUCUCCCCGAAAGCUAUUUAGGUAGCGCCUCGUGAAUUCAUCUCCGGGGGUAGAGCACUGUUUCGGCUAGGGGGCCAUCCCGGCUUACCAACCCGAUGCAAACUGCGAAUACCGGAGAAUGUUAUCACGGGAGACACACGGCGGGUGCUAACGUCCGUCGUGAAGAGGGAAACAACCCAGACCGCCAGCUAAGGUCCCAAAGUCAUGGUUAAGUGGGAAACGAUGUGGGAAGGCCCAGACAGCCAGGAUGUUGGCUUAGAAGCAGCCAUCAUUUAAAGAAAGCGUAAUAGCUCACUGGUCGAGUCGGCCUGCGCGGAAGAUGUAACGGGGCUAAACCAUGCACCGAAGCUGCGGCAGCGAACGUAUCACUUAAAGCGAUUCAGCGGGUUACGAUUGACGGAGCGAAGCGACGUCAAAGCGUAUACAAAGUCGAGUCGGUUUAAGGAUACGUUCGUUGGGUAGGGGAGCGUUCUGUAAGCCUGUGAAGGUGGCCUGUGAGGGUUGCUGGAGGUAUCAGAAGUGCGAAUGCUGACAUAAGUAACGAUAAAGCGGGUGAAAAGCCCGCUCGCCGGAAGACCAAGGGUUCCUGUCCAACGUUAAUCGGGGCAGGGUGAGUCGACCCCUAAGGCGAGGCCGAAAGGCGUAGUCGAUGGGAAACGGGUUAAUAUUCCCGUACUUGGUGUUACUGCGAAGGGGGGACGGAGAAGGCUAUGUUGGCCGGGCGACGGUUGUCCCGGUUUAAGCGUGUAGGUGUGUGUUCCAGGUAAAUCCGGUUCACUUUAACACUGAGGCGUGAUGACGAGGCACUACGGUGCUGAAGCAACAAAUGCCCUGCUUCCAGGAAAAGCCUCUAAGCAUCAGGUAACAUCAAAUCGUACCCCAAACCGACACAGGUGGUCAGGUAGAGAAUACCAAGGCGCUUGAGAGAACUCGGGUGAAGGAACUAGGCAAAAUGGUGCCGUAACUUCGGGAGAAGGCACGCUGA